AGAGUUUGAUCAUGGCUCAGGAUGAACGCUGGCGGCGUGCUUAACACAUGCAAGUCGAACGGAGACAUAUUUUGUAAGUUUUCGGAUGGAAAGAUAUGUUCUUAGUGGCGGACGGGGUGAGUAAUGUAUGAGCAACCUACCUUUAAGAGGGGGACGAACAGUUGGAAACGACUGCUAAUACCGCAUAAUGCGAAUUUGCCGCAUGGCAGAUUUGUCAAA
This 219-nucleotide ribosomal RNA is filed under the name uncultured bacterium. Its description in RNAcentral is "partial 16S ribosomal RNA". It matches the Rfam family "Bacterial small subunit ribosomal RNA", at positions 8 to 205 of the family's 1533-position model. The record is from RNAcentral.